Molecule: long non-coding RNA, 2066 nt
Organism: Acinonyx jubatus (cheetah)
Lineage: Eukaryota; Metazoa; Chordata; Mammalia; Carnivora; Felidae
Exons: 3
Source: RefSeq, a predicted model, not a curated record
AACAACAGCAACAAUUUCCCUUCUGUCUCUAACAUUCAGGAAAUUCCAGUGUGGUGCCAGCGAGCUCCUUGACCACUCUCCGCCUUCAACAAUGAUUGGGAAUAAAUUGUUUUCCAUUGAAAGCAAUUGAUCCAGUGCCCCAAGACCACAUUUGGGAACUGCUUGUUCAGGGCAUUCCUCAACCAGGAGUUUCCUUGUGGAGCCAUUUAGACACCAAGGUGAGAGGUUGAGCCAGAGAAGUGACUUAGAGUUGGUGCCAUGUUUUCUACACUGAGCUAUCGUGAUAACAACACAUGGUGCCUUUCUGGCACGUUGGGUACAUAGUUCAUACUUCACCCUCAACACGGUCACGAGAGGUUGUUAGAAAAGGAGCUGUCUCCCCCCUCCCCAGUUAGCCAAUGAGAAGACAGAGUUUGGGGGAGGCUCACAGAGCAAGUUCUUGAACUCCAUUUCUUCAGUUCCUAAUUUGCUGACUUUCCACGUGACUCUGGGCAGCCUAACAGACACUCCUCCUCUGUAUGAUGCCCUCAGAGACUUCCCAUUCCUGGAAUUGGUGCUUAGGGAAUGAUCUAGAUCAAGCCACUUAAAGAUGGAGACGUUAGAUGGCACAGCUUAUACAAGGCCUUUCUCAGCAGAGUUCAUACCCUUUUGAUAGUUUGGAUAAUUAAUGGACUUCUAGAAGCCCGUAUUAUCUCAGACUCACAUAGCUUCUUUUGUACCCUGUCACUCACAACCGUCCUUUUCUUGUUGAGGUCCUUAGCACAGAUGCUCAAAACCAACAGCUCUCGCUCCACCUUAGCUAUUCGGAGUCUCUACCUUGGAAUGGGAAAUCUGUGUCAUCGUGAGCCCCUUAGCUUCACCUCCAACCGCCGUUGGCUUGUUGCCUUCUCUAAACCUGCAGAGAGGAAUUCCUUCUCUGGAUACACCUGCUGCUGGCAGGAGCUAAAGGUUUGAUUCUCUUUAUGAGUAUGAUCCGCCAAUCCGUAAUCAAGGGUUAAUUUCACAGCUCACUGCUUCAUCUAGCAUAAUAUCCAUUCAGACUAAUUAAAUCUGUCUAAUAAUGUGAGUGUCUUUGUCUUUGUUCUUCCCCUUCUUUGUUUUACACCCUUCACAUCUCAUCUCCAGAACCACACGCCAUCACACUCUACUUGACAAGCAGAAUCCAUCCCUAAAAUUAAAACAUUCCUGACCUAUCUGCAAUGACAAGGCAGGCGAGCUUCACGGCGCUCCGGCCCAUGAAGGGAACUGACACAUUUGUUUUUAAUUUCAAAAGAGUAGAAAGUGAAGAUCUGACCCCGUCAAUCAAGCCCUGUGACAAGUUUAAUCAUUGGUGCCCCACAAAAAUCACGGCUAAAUAGGAAUGCAAAUACUGUAUCACAGGGCUCUUAUAAAUGCUAAUCAAGGAGAAGUAAUCAAGUGACAAUUUCACUGAUCUCUUUUCUGAAGAAGUCACUCAAUGCUCUGUCUCUGGGCCACAAAGAGAAGAGAACAGGACAAAAGGGAUGGAUGAGGUCCCCCCCCAACCUUCCUUUUAUUUUCCUUCCAGGACAUUUCUUUUUAAAGAGAGAAUUCGUUCUUUUGAUCCAUUGUUGAACUUUAAAGCGAGGAACUCGCGCAGCUAUAUGUCAAGUGUACUUUAUUAUUGGUACCCUGGCCGGGGAGAGAACGCACCGAAACUUCCGCUAAAAUAAAAAUCAUCAUUUGUCUUUGUCAUUAAUCUGUUCUCAAAUUCUCUUAUAUCUUAAAAGUGACUGACCUUCGCUGUGAGAGGGGAAGAAAAAAAAAGUUUUACAAGUAGUCGAAAAUCUGAAAAUUAUGAUCACGGUAACUCAAAAAAAAAAAAAAAAGAAGAAGAAGAAGAAGAAGAAGAAGAAAAAUCCCUUUUAAAAACUUAAUCCAGGGUUGAUGAAGAAUUUAUAAUCACCAAGAAGUCCUGAGCCAGGCAUCUCUCCCCUCAGUGUGGAGGCUUCACUCUGCUCAGGGAGAGAAAUCAGAAAUUGGGGAGAUAUUUUUCAUGUACGCUUUUACACAGGACCUGAGAGCUUUGUGUGUUACCAAGCUUAGAA